AUGAAGUGCUGUGUUUAUGGCUCAUCAGAGAGGAGAGAUCUUGGAAAGGACAUUUCAAGCAGUCAAAUGAGAACCAAAAAGAUCACACAGAAAGAAAAGUCUUUCCUCAGCCAGAGAUGUACUUUUGUAAAGCAAAUCUCCUUGAACAUGGUCUGGAAUCUUCUGCACUGGGAAGGUCGCAGGAACAAGUUUCAAGACUGUUUCGAUGUUUGAGCCAUAAUGCAGUUAAGGCAUCAAUCCAACGAAAGCACCAACGAUCUGAGAAAUCCUGACAUAUCAAGAUAUAAAUAAUUCAGGUACUACUAUAGCACGAUGCUUGUCUGCUGGA
Chionomys nivalis (European snow vole) is the source of this 328-nucleotide long non-coding RNA. RefSeq lists it as uncharacterized. The record is from RefSeq and is a predicted model, not a curated record. Lineage: Eukaryota; Metazoa; Chordata; Mammalia; Rodentia; Cricetidae. The transcript has 3 exons.